This 349-nucleotide unclassified non-coding RNA is filed under the name soil metagenome. Its description in RNAcentral is "partial contains 5.8S ribosomal RNA, internal transcribed spacer 2, and large subunit ribosomal RNA". The stretch from base 1 to 120 matches the Rfam family "5.8S ribosomal RNA", at positions 35 to 154 of the family's 154-position model. The record is from RNAcentral.
GAUGAAGAACGCAGCGAAAUGCGAUAAGUAAUGUGAAUUGCAGAAUUCAGUGAAUCAUCGAAUCUUUGAACGCACAUUGCGCCCGCCAGUAUUCUGGCGGGCAUGCCUGUCCGAGCGUCAUUUCAACCCUCGAACCCCUCCGGGGGGUCGGCGUUGGGGAUCGGCCCCUCACCGGGCCGCCCCCGAAAUCCAGUGGCGGUCUCGCCGCAGCCUCUCCUGCGCAGUAGUUUGCACACUCGCACCGGGAGCGCGGCGCGGCCACAGCCGUAAAACACCCCAAACUCUGAAAUGUUGACCUCGGAGCAGGUAGGAAUACCCGCUGAACUUAAGCAUAUCAAUAAGCGGAGGA